AUGUUCGUCCUGCGAGCACGCGCGCGAGCAUCACAAAACAAAUCAGAAUUGCAUCAGGCUAUUGCUACGUUGGAUCUGGCCAUCUGCAGAUGUUUAAUUGAUGGUUACCUUGAGUUGUUUAUCCUUGGACCGGACGAGCGCGGUGCCGCGGACCGAAACGCCUUCCCACCGAUCCUGCCGCCGGACUUGCCCGCCAUGGCGUCGUCGACGGGCGCGAGUACGAGCACGCCGGCGGCCAUGGCGACCAUCGCCAGCUUCCCGAGAUUUUUCAGCUCGAGGUUUCCGGCCCACGACGGAGGCGCGUCCUUCUGGUCGGAGGCCCUGCAAGAAAGCCUCGCCGAUGCCGGCCUAAUUGACGACCUCGUGAGCUGCGGGGCCGUGCAUAGGGGCCUCCCUGUGAGGAAGCUCUGGAGAGAUGUGGGGGCUAACGCCAUGGCCGUGAUCUCCCACUCGGCUCCUAGCUUGCUUGCUUUGCUUGCUCUUGCUAUGUCUUCUUCUUUCUCUGAGUUCUUGAUUGCUUGCUGCAGUCUGAGAUGGGAAGCGGUGGAAGAAAGGUAA
RNAcentral lists this ribosomal RNA (558 nucleotides) under Triticum aestivum (bread wheat). RNAcentral's name for it is "partial small subunit ribosomal RNA". Lineage: Eukaryota; Viridiplantae; Streptophyta; Magnoliopsida; Poales; Poaceae. The record is from RNAcentral.